This 253-nucleotide ribosomal RNA is filed under the name uncultured bacterium. RNAcentral describes it as "partial 16S ribosomal RNA". It matches the Rfam family "Bacterial small subunit ribosomal RNA", at positions 524 to 776 of the family's 1533-position model. The record is from RNAcentral.
UACGUAGGAUGCUAGCGUUGUCCGGAUUUACUGGGCGUAAAGCGCGCGCAGGCGGCACUGUAAGUAAGGUGUGAAAUUUCCCUGCUCAACGGGGAGGGUGCACUUUAGACUGCAGAGCUAGAGGACGGUAGAGGGGGGUGGAAUUGCUGGUGUAGCGGUGAAAUGCGUAGAGAUCAGCAGGAACACCCGUGGCGAAGGCGGCCCCCUGGGCCGAACCUGACGCUGAGGCGCGAAGGCUAGGGGAGCGAACGGG